RNAcentral lists this ribosomal RNA (329 nucleotides) under Cercozoa sp. Its description in RNAcentral is "SSU rRNA". The stretch from base 117 to 329 matches the Rfam family "Eukaryotic small subunit ribosomal RNA", at positions 742 to 955 of the family's 1831-position model. Lineage: Eukaryota; Cercozoa. The record is from RNAcentral.
GAUUUCUGGUCUAGUAUCACUUGACCCGUCAUGGUCACAUGAUUGUGUGUCGAUGUGUACUUACCAUCCUUCUAGAACAUUUUUUAUCAUUCUUUAUUGAAUGUAUGAAAAAUUGUACUAGAUCUUUUACUUUGAAAAAAUUAGAGUGUUUCAAGCAGGCUUUAUGCUAUGAAUACAUUAGCAUGGAAUAAUAAUUUAGGACUUCGGUUCUAUUUUGUUGGUUUCUAGGACUGAAGUAAUGAUUGAUAGGGAUAGUUGGGGGUGCUAGUAUUCAGCGGCCAGAGGUGAAAUUCUCGGAUUCGCUGAAGACUAACUUAUGCGAAAGCAUU